UUAAAAUAAGAAGGUAUACUGCAAUAUAAUAAUAAAAUUAAAUAAGGCCAGUACACCUCCAAUUAAUAAAGAUGAAGAAGGUUUCUCUUGUAUUGAUUAGCUUUCUCUUGGCUACCGUUCUCUUCUUACCCUCCUCAACCCUAGCUCAACAAUUACCUCAAGGUGUUUCUUACAAGCCACUGCUGCCGAAUUCGCCGCACAAGUACUUAAUAACUCCAAAUUGUACACGCUACAUAAGAUCAUGUUAUCCAACUACUCCAAAGCCAAAUAGAAGACCGCCAUCACCACCAGCAACACCACCACCAUCACCACCAGCCUACCGGCAGCCACCAAAACGAUGCACGCCCUAUAAACGCAGCUGCCCUCCGGAGCUACGCCAUUAAGUUAUGAGACAACUACUACCGCAUCGCUUCCAUCUCAUGAAAUAAUAUUAUAAGCAUCAAAUUUGUAGAGUAAUAAAUGUAUUGAGCGUUUACAACAAAUAAAGAGUGAUCACUCUACCAGUUGCCUUGUACUUUACUAUUAUAGUGAUAUCUGAUACUACAAAUCAUUUUCAUAAAUAAAAAACAUUGUGUUUUUUUAUUAAA
Long non-coding RNA from Humulus lupulus (European hop), 587 nucleotides. RefSeq lists it as uncharacterized. Lineage: Eukaryota; Viridiplantae; Streptophyta; Magnoliopsida; Rosales; Cannabaceae. The record is from RefSeq and is a predicted model, not a curated record. The transcript has 2 exons.